RNAcentral lists this ribosomal RNA (430 nucleotides) under uncultured bacterium. RNAcentral's name for it is "partial 16S ribosomal RNA". It matches the Rfam family "Bacterial small subunit ribosomal RNA", at positions 29 to 506 of the family's 1533-position model. The record is from RNAcentral.
AACGAACGCUGGCGGCAGGCUUAACACAUGCAAGUCGAGCGCCUCGCCAGAGGAGCGGCAGACGGGUGAGUAACGCGUGGGAACGUACCCUUAUCUUCGGAAUAGCUCUGGGAAACUGGAAGUAAUACCGAAUGUGCCCUUAGGGGGAAAGAUUUAUCGGAUAAGGAUCGGCCCGCGUUGGAUUAGCUAGUUGGUGGGGUAAAGGCCUACCAAGGCGACGAUCCAUAGCUGGUCUGAGAGGAUGAUCAGCCACAUUGGGACUGAGACACGGCCCAAACUCCUACGGGAGGCAGCAGUGGGGAAUAUUGGACAAUGGGCGCAAGCCUGAUCCAGCCAUGCCGCGUGAGUGAUGAAGGCCUUAGGGUUGUAAAGCUCUUUCACCGGAGAAGAUAAUGACGGUAUCCGGAGAAGAAGCCCCGGCUAACUUCGU